CCUACGGGAGGCAGCAGUGAGGAAUAUUGGUCAAUGGGCGCAAGCCUGAACCAGCCAUCCCGCGUGCAGGAAGAAGGCGCUAUGCGUUGUAAACUGCUUUUGUAGGGGAAGAAUGUUGGCUACGCGUAGUCAAUUGCCGGUACCUUGUGAAUAAGCACCGGCUAACUACGUGCCAGCAGCCGCGGUAAU
RNAcentral lists this ribosomal RNA (189 nucleotides) under uncultured bacterium. RNAcentral describes it as "partial 16S ribosomal RNA". It matches the Rfam family "Bacterial small subunit ribosomal RNA", at positions 338 to 524 of the family's 1533-position model. The record is from RNAcentral.